GAUGAAGAACGUAGCGAAAUGCGAUAAGUAGUGUGAAUUGCAGAAUUCAGUGAAUCAUCUAAUCUUUGAACGCACAUUGCGCCCCUUGGUAUCCCGAGGGGCAUGCCUGUUCGAGCGUCAUUUCACCACUCAAGCCUGGCUUGGUGUUGGGCGACGUCCUCUUUGGGGACGCGCCUCGAAACGCUCGGCGGCGUGGCACCGGCUUUAAGCGUAGCAGAAUCUUUCGCUUUGGAAGUCGGGGCCCCGUCUGCCGGAAGACCUGCUCGCAAGGUUGACCUCGGAUCAGGCAGGGAUACCCGCUGAACUUAAGCAUAUCAAUAAGCGGAGGA
This 329-nucleotide unclassified non-coding RNA is filed under the name soil metagenome. RNAcentral describes it as "partial contains 5.8S ribosomal RNA, internal transcribed spacer 2, and large subunit ribosomal RNA". The stretch from base 1 to 120 matches the Rfam family "5.8S ribosomal RNA", at positions 35 to 154 of the family's 154-position model. The record is from RNAcentral.